AGAGUCCAUCCAUUCGAUGUAGGCAGACACACGGGUGAAGACGGUGGGCUUCUUGGGGUAGUUGCAUCCCCAACCAGACACAAAGCUGGCAAUACCAUGGACGUAGUAUUUUCCAUUAACGAGGCAGUUCAGAGGGCCACCUGAGUCACCCUGAGAGGAAAUUAAAACAGUAUCUUCAGUAUCAAGAGGACAGAUGUAACAAAAACAUAAUCUAGAACUUAGGAGAUAAAGUUAUUAUGUGUAAAAAUUUUGCAUGUCCUUUAUUCUUUUUCCUCAUUUGACUCACAUUGCAUCCAGAGUCAGCGCCGCCACCACCACACACCAUGGUGUUCUUGACAGUGCUGCCCCACCAGUCACUUCUGGAGCAGUUGUUGUGGUCGACCAGAGGGAGGUAGGCCUGCUUCAGCUGGGCGGACAGGCUACCACCAGCUAGAAACAGCAAACAAUGUAAAGGGAAGAUUGAGCUUCAUUGAGGAAAGACUUUUGAGGAUGUGAGGGGAUGGUGCAAUGAACCCACUGGAUGUGAGUCCCCAUCCGGUGAUGUAGCAAAGGUUGUUGUGGGGCAGGAGCUGGCCGGAGGGAGGGAGGGAACCCAGCUGGAUGUAAGAGUUCAGAGUGGCCUCGGUGGACAGACGCAGCAGGGCAAUGUGCGUCCCCAUCCGGUGAUGUAGCAAAGGUUGUUGUGGGGCAGGAGCUGGCCGGAGGGAGGGAGGGAACCCAGCUGGACGUAAGAGUUCAGAGUGGCCUCGGUGGACAGACGCAGCAGGGCAAUGUCAUACCUGAGUUGGUGAGAAAGCUUACUGUAAAACACUGUUCACAGCAUCUCACACACUAAAUGUCUAAGAACAAGACAAACACUUGUUACCCAGCAGCAACACUGUUGGAGUUCCAUCUGGGGUGGAUGUGCACUUUGCUGACGGCAAUGAUCUGCUCUGUGCCUCCGUUUUUGUAGAGGUCAUGCUCCCCAAGGACAACACGGUAGGUCAUGGGUCUGUCCACACAGUGAGCAGCUGUCAUAACCCAGCCUCUCUUAAUCAGGGUUCCUCCGCAUGUGUGAUAAUAGUUGCUGCCAGAUCUGUACUGAAGAGAGAUCUGCCAGGGCCAAGAGUUGGGAGAGGCCACUUCACCUCCGACAACCCUCUCAAGGCUAUCCUCGAUGUACCUGGGCUGUGGUCCCAGGUCAGCCAGAACUUGUUAAAAAAGAAAGGAAAACAAAGCUGCAUGAGUUUUAUGUUCCUGCAUCUCCUGUGGUGUUACACAGCAGUGUGUACAGUGUGGUUUUCUUACCCAGGGCUGCAAGGCUUGUCAACACCAGAAACCUCAGCAUGUCUGCACAAUGUCAGAAUGUGUCUGCGAGGAAUCAGACCUUUCCCCCUGCUUUUAUACCUCUCUACAGUGGAAAAUUGAGGCUGUUGUGUCAAGCAUGGGAAACACACCUGUGAUCCGUCUCACAAUGUGUUAUCAGUUGGUCAGCACACACCUCCUACUUUCAAUGUUUAAAAAUGCUGCACAAGGAGCAAAACAAUUAUAACAUAUUUGAUAAAAUCUGUCACAGUUUUCCUUGCUUUGUAUUUGUGGAUGAAAACAUCUUCUUUUCUGGUAAUUUAGGUGGAUAUGUUGAAGAAAGCCUGGGUAAGAUGUACAGGUAGUUUCUUUUCAUACAAAUACUGUGAAUUUUUUCUUUGAGUAAACAUGUUUUUUUUUCCUUGCCAAAAUUCUCCACCUUUAAGUCUUGAGAGAUUUUUGCUUGUUGUGUCUCUCUAACAAAUGGAAAUAAAUACAUACCAAAGAAGUGGCUACCAAUUGAUACAACCAGUCCACUGGAGAUAAGGCACAGAUCCAGUUUAAACCAGUAGCAUGUGGACUGGUUGCUCUCGCAGAAGGACACGUGUGUGUGAUGUGUGUGUUAAGGAAUACAGUCAAUAAACCAGUCUAAAUCAACACAGUUUAAAGAAAAGGUGCACUGCCUGAAGUCUCAAGUUCAAUGAGGGUAAAUUAAUAGUGCCUUAAAAUGGAUCUUUUGAUUUCGUCGCUGUUUAUGAUGAUUGGUUUUAAUUAAA
Long non-coding RNA from Takifugu rubripes (torafugu), 2060 nucleotides. The record is from Ensembl. Lineage: Eukaryota; Metazoa; Chordata; Actinopteri; Tetraodontiformes; Tetraodontidae.